UUCUAAAUGUUUAGUCGGAAUCUCCUUUCUUGCAACUUGAAGCCAUUGGUCCUUUCAUCCAGAGCAGGAGAAAUCAAGCAUGCUCCCUCCUCCAUGUGACAGCCCUUCAUAUAUUUGAAGAUGGCUAUCAUAUCUCCUCUCAGUCUCCUCUUUUCCAGGCUAAACAUACCCAGCUCCUUCAAGC
This is a non-coding RNA of Podarcis lilfordi (Lilford's wall lizard), 184 nucleotides long. NCBI's taxonomy places the organism in Eukaryota, Metazoa, Chordata, Lepidosauria, Squamata, Lacertidae. The record is from the annotation of a GenBank genome assembly.